RNAcentral lists this ribosomal RNA (253 nucleotides) under uncultured bacterium. RNAcentral's name for it is "partial 16S ribosomal RNA". It matches the Rfam family "Bacterial small subunit ribosomal RNA", at positions 524 to 776 of the family's 1533-position model. The record is from RNAcentral.
UACGUAGGAGGCGAGCGUUGUCCGGAUUUACUGGGCGUAAAGGGCGCGUAGGCGGUAGCACAAGUCAGUUGUGAAAUCUCCGGGCUUAACUCGGAAAGGUCAACUGAUACUGUGCGACUAGAGUGCAGAAGGGGCAACUGGAAUUCUCGGUGUAGCGGUGAAAUGCGUAGAUAUCGAGAGGAACACCUGCGGCGAAGGCGGGUUGCUGGGCUGACACUGACGCUGAGGCGCGAAAGCCAGGGGAGCGAACGGG